This is a non-coding RNA of Heterocephalus glaber (naked mole-rat), 3486 nucleotides long. The record is from RefSeq and is a predicted model, not a curated record. Lineage: Eukaryota; Metazoa; Chordata; Mammalia; Rodentia; Bathyergidae.
CCGCCGGCCGCUCGGAUCUGAGACCACUCCCCAGCCUCCAGCGCCCGAAAUUCGAGGACCGUUGCCCACACGCCACCGUUUGCCCCGGCGGCCGAGGCGGCAUGUGCAGACACGUCCUGGUCAGCACGCACGCACGGAGGAAUACUCCCUCGGGGUCCCGGGGCAAAGCCUUCCCCAGCCAGGACAAACUCCAGCGUGGGCUCCGGCGGUGACUUCCCCGUGCCCCACCAGCACCAGGGCCAGAACACGCGCACCCCGAAGUCACCGGUGCCCCAGUCCACACCUAGGCACGCGCACGCGGCUCGGGCUCCUCCAGCUUGCUGCUUUCUGCUCACCCUGCCAUGGACUGUUUCUCCUCUGUGAUAGCCCCUCUGCCAUGCUGCCCUUCCUUGGAGCCAGAUUAGUGACUAAACUUCUACAAAUGACCUUUCAGGAGCCUCUUUAUUCUGCAAGUAAUUACCUCAUAUCCCAAAUGGCUUUCCAGCUGUCCAUCCAUCUCCACAAAUCAUCUUGGCAUCACAGGGGGUCUUUGGUUGGUGCCACUUCUGAAACAUCAACCGACUCCAUGGAGAAACUGGAUGAAAUGGUGGAAUCCAGACAUCUGAUCUAUUUGAAGUGCCCUUUGAAUUGCCUUAGGCAGGUGAUUCCCUGAUCAUGUGACCCUGAUGGUGUCUGCUAAGUGCCAGGCUCUGUGCCAGAAGCUGGGUGCCAUGGGAGCUUCAGUUGAUGGGAGAGGCAGACUUGUGGCAGGAUCUCCUACUGGAGUCCCUCAGACCCUUGCCUGGCCUGGCAAAGAAGGGGCUGAGGCUCUCCAGAGACUCUAGCACUUGACUUUCCCCUGGAGGAAUAAUGGGGAACACUUUAUGCUGUCUGCACCAGGAGCACCAGCUGUGCAAAUGUAGGAUAACAUUGCUACUGUUUCACUGUUUUGUCUCUAUGACAGACAUCAUCAAUCAAUUGCUGCAUUGUUUGAUUCCUUUUCAUGUCCUAAGUCUGUGACUUAUGCUGUCCAUUACCUACUGGACGAUUCAGUCACUGUUGCAAGGUGCUUCCCCUCUUCCUCCUCUAGAUAUUUCUAGGAGUUCCCAGUCUCCAUCGGUGUCCACAAAUUACCACUGGCAGCCACCUACUCUUCCUUUCCUCCAAUGAUUCCCACAGGACCUUGACUGCUGUUGUCCACAAAAUUGCUUGGUCAAAGCCCUUGUGAGGCCACCAUAGGGAAACUGUCCUAAUGUCUUCAAAGCUGCCAGGAAGCAUUCACAUUACAGGAGAAUUAUUAUUGCCUGACCACUAGGAAUCUUUGUUAUCCCGCAAGUUAGAAUAUAGGUGAUCUCACAGUUGAUUCAUUAAUGAAUAUUGUGGAAAUAGGAAAACACACGAGUUUCUCUCUUCUCCCUCUUUUCCUCACUGUACCAUGUAGUCCUCCAAGUGUGGCCUGCGGAACCUCCCUGGGAUCUGCAAGAUGAGAACUGUUUUAAGGACAGCUCUAAGGCCUCGGUGUCCCUUCUCACCGGCAUGGAGGCACAGAGUAGCUUCCAGCAGCUUCCAGAUCCAUGGUACUGCAACAGGCUGAGCAGCCGCAGAUGUGAGGCGCUGCCGUCUUCUCUUACAGCAGACAUUAUGGAGACUUUCAAACCCUGCAAAGUAUCUCUGUGCUUCUCACUAAUUGCUUUUUGUUUUGGAAAAUACAGGUUUUUUCAUAAAAGGGUUUAUGUUAAUAUAUAAUGGGAUUAUUAUUGUUUUUAAAUGAAUCUUUCAAAAAAUUCUUGGUUUUAUUUUAAAAGAAGGUAAAUAUUGCUAUUUGUCUACAGAUAUUAUCUCCUCGAAGUUCUUUUAAGUUAAGACAAUAUCACUUACCCCCUACCAGGUGGUGGUUCUGUUGGCGGUAGGACAUAAAGUAUCUUUCUUGAGGUCUCCUGCUCCUCCUUUUCUGUCUUUGCGUCUUUUAUAUUUUUCUUUUCUCUCUUUUUACAGUGCUGGGGCUUGAACUCAGGGCUUGAUGCUGGUUUCAUUAUGUUGCCCAGGCUGGCCUUAAGCUUCUGGAUAUAAACAAUCCUCCUGCCUCAGCCUCCCCAGUAGCUGGCCACAGAAGUGGAAGUUGAGGCACAGAAAAGGAAAUGAUCAGAAAGCCUCCCGCAUUCAGAUGUUCCCCAAGAGGGACAGGCUGGGCCUUCGUGUGAAGAACAGAAUGUUCCUGGUGGGUGAGCCUUGUGCCUGCAAAGCCCACUGCUGGGCCAAGGGCUGAGCUCCUCCUCCCUUUCCUUCACCUUCUCCUCCUUUUCUUCCUCCCCCUUCUCCUCCCCCUUCCCUCCCCCUCCCCGUCUUCUCCCCCUCCCCCUUCCCCUUCCCCUUCUCCUCUGUCUUCAUCCUUCUCUGCUCCGGCUUGACCCAGUCAACUGGGAAAGAUUGCACCAGACAGGCAAGCGGAGGUAGAAGCUUCGAGGUGGGACUGGGAACCUGAGGUGACUUGGUUACAUUAAGCCCCUGGGACAGGGGACAAUUAUAUAAUGGCGGACAGGAGGGCAAGGGUGACAGAGCAAGCCAAGGCAAGGGAUGAACCCUGGAGUUGGAGGGAAGAAAAGCAGGACAGAGCAGAGGAAAUGUGUCCAUCACCAGCUGGGCAGCUGCCAUGCAGGAGCAAACUCAUCACCUCCUCUGGUGUUCCUGUCCCUGCGGGCUUCAUCCUCGACUCUCCUGGCUCCGCUGAGUACAGAUGAUUCUUGAAGUCCUGGUAUCUUAGCAUCAAACUCCAUUACUGUCUAAUUAACAGGACCCAGUUUCUUGCUUGGAGGCAAGAAUCCCAAAUACGCCCAGGCCUUUGCUGCCCCAGUAGCAGAAUGGCCAGGGGUCACACAGUAGAUGCACAGUGCAGAGGCCAGAACCCGGUGGAUACUGAUGCAUUUUCUUGUGGUUCUUACUGUCACGCUUUGUCUACCCGAAGGCCACUUCUGUGGGCAGGAUGAAUUUGAGGACCUCAUUUCUUCUGCUGGGACUCUGACUCGUUCAACAUCACUGGGAAUGAUAGUGGACAGGGCACUGUCCACUACAUCCUAUCUAGAAACAAUAAAAUAAGAAAUCUUAAAAUUCCAAUGUAUAGAGUCUGUGUUUUAUAUAUCUGUUCAUCAGCUGAUGGGCAUCUCAUUGCUUUCGCUUUGAACUAUAGUGAACAAUGCUGCUAUAACCGUUUGUGUACAAUUCUGUGGGGCCCUAUAUUACCAUUUGGGGGGGAUAGAUACUUAGGAUGGAAUGGCUGUUUAUAUGGUAAAAGUAUGAUGGGUAAGAAACUGUCCACCUACUCUAAAAGUUGUUUGUUUGUUUGUUUGUUUGUUUUAGGGACAGGGUCUUGUUAUACUCCCCACACUGGCCUUGAAUCCAGGGCUCAAGGGAUCCUCCUGCCUCAGCCUCUCAAGUAGCUGGGACUGUAGGUCUGUGCUACCUACCAUGCCUGGAUUAGAAGUGUUUGUCAGCCUGGGCACAGUGGCACAU